AGCACCUAUAAGCACCUUCCCCUCUGUAAUAAAGUCACAGAUCAAAAGCUCCGUUGUGAGGUUAUAGCUCUUCCUGGAGGCUCCUUGUGUAUCUGUUACCAGCACCCCAUUAUAACUCCAGACGACCAGCAUGGACAGG
Molecule: long non-coding RNA, 139 nt
Organism: Branchiostoma belcheri (Belcher's lancelet)
Lineage: Eukaryota; Metazoa; Chordata; Leptocardii; Amphioxiformes; Branchiostomatidae
Exons: 3
Source: RefSeq, a predicted model, not a curated record